CUGUCUCUCUCUCUCCCCUCCCCCGUGUGUAUCGAAGGAGCAGACAACCAUAUCGGGAGAUUGUAAUAAAGGACUAUGCUGGGGGAAAGGCAGAAGAAUCAAGUUUGGUGUGAUAACCCUGCCUGGACAAGAGACAUUUUCUGCCUACAUAACAUGUAAGUUCAUAUCCAUUGUCUAUAAUGCAGUGAACUCAACAGGAUCCGAG
This is a non-coding RNA of Phascolarctos cinereus (koala), 205 nucleotides long. The record is from RefSeq and is a predicted model, not a curated record. NCBI's taxonomy places the organism in Eukaryota, Metazoa, Chordata, Mammalia, Diprotodontia, Phascolarctidae.